Molecule: ribosomal RNA, 253 nt
Filed under: uncultured bacterium
Lineage: Bacteria
Description: partial 16S ribosomal RNA
Rfam family: Bacterial small subunit ribosomal RNA
Source: RNAcentral
UACGUAGGGGGCAAGCGUUGUCCGGAUUUAUUGGGCGUAAAGAGCGUGUAGGCGGCUAGGUAGGUCCGUUGUGAAAACUCGAGGCUCAACCUCGAGACGCCGAUGGAAACCGUCUGGCUAGAGUCCGGAAGAGGAGAGUGGAAUUCCUGGUGUAGCGGUGAAAUGCGCAGAUAUCAGGAAGAACACCCGUGGCUAAGGCGGCUCUCUAGUACGGUACUGACGCUGAGACGCGAAAGCGUGGGGAGCGAACAGG